RNAcentral lists this ribosomal RNA (292 nucleotides) under uncultured bacterium. RNAcentral describes it as "partial 16S ribosomal RNA". The record is from RNAcentral.
GGACUACACGGGUUUCUAAUCCCGUUCGCUCCCCUGGCUUUCGCACACGAGCGUCAGACUCUUCCCAGGAUGCUGCCUUCGCCUUCGGUGUUCUUCCAGAUCUCUACGCAUUUCACCGCUCCACCUGGAAUUCCGCAUCCCUCUGAAGGUCUCAAGUCUUCCCGUUUUCUCAGCCCUGUGGCAGUUAAGCCGCCACCUGUCACUGGGAACGCGAAAGACCGCCUGCGUGCCCUUUACGCCCAAUAAAUCCGGACAACGCUUGCCCCCUACGUAUUACCGCGGCGGCUGGCAC